CUCAAAGGGGUCAAUUAACCAUAGCCCCAGACAUUCAGGAAGACAACAGAAUGGCCUAAGAAGACCACUCACCUCUUCAAAUCUAUCAAACUACCCACAUCAAAGGCAGAAAGAGACUUUAGUUUCCUCUAUCUCCAAAGUCAGAAGACAAUAAAGUGGUGUUUGGAAGGAGGUACCUGACCACACCAAGACCCAGACCAGCCAGCCCCGGGCACAGGGAAGCACAAAUACCUUUACUUAACAGAGUAAUCAGCAGCAGCAGCAACACGGAAUUGUCUGAAGCAUUAGUGAGAAGCCAGGAGUUGGGCGCUGGAGAACUCCACUAACAGAAGGCCAGUCCCAAUUCCCACAUCCACAGGCCAAGAUCAGCUUCAUACCGAGCACAAUCUCCAUGGCAAACUUGGCUGUAGUACACAGCACAUUUUUGGCAUCAGUCAUGGUCACUAUCACAGAGUGUAAUCACCAGAGAGAAAAAUGCCUGUUCAUAUGCAGCGUAAACAACCUAAGGCAAAUGUGUGACCUGCAGAUUCUGGCAAAGUCCAGACAGGCGUGA
Molecule: long non-coding RNA, 553 nt
Filed under: Chinchilla lanigera (long-tailed chinchilla)
Lineage: Eukaryota; Metazoa; Chordata; Mammalia; Rodentia; Chinchillidae
Description: lncRNA (ENSCLAG00000023664.1)
Source: RNAcentral